Molecule: non-coding RNA, 22 nt
Filed under: Arabidopsis thaliana (thale cress)
Lineage: Eukaryota; Viridiplantae; Streptophyta; Magnoliopsida; Brassicales; Brassicaceae
Source: RNAcentral
AGUAGAUUGCCCCUUUGCUAGG